CUUCGCCAGCAUGACCAAACUGCUUCUGUCUGCUCAGGGACACUUCAAGGGUGGUGUUUCUUGCACUGGCCUUUUGAGCUGGCCACACAGGCCCUUCCAUUGCUCUAUUUCCUGUGGUAGAAGAGCGGUGGCUUUCAAACACGUUGGAUCAUUCCACAGCAAGAAAGAGAGUGUAUAUUACGGCCCAGCACCUACUUACACCGAUAAAACCAUAAGCUUCUCGGCCUCUCUCUCCAUCCGGUCUCCUAGUUUGUGAGAUGAGACUUUCAGCCCCGGGAAUCUCUGGGAUACCUUCCAUGGCCAGCCCUCU
Long non-coding RNA from Neomonachus schauinslandi (Hawaiian monk seal), 310 nucleotides. RefSeq lists it as uncharacterized. Lineage: Eukaryota; Metazoa; Chordata; Mammalia; Carnivora; Phocidae. The transcript is spliced from 3 exons. The record is from RefSeq and is a predicted model, not a curated record.